GUCUACUGCCAUGCUACCCUGAACAAGCCCAAUCCCGUCUGAUCUCGGAAGCUAAGCAGGGUCGGGCCUGGUUAGUACUUGGAUGGGAGACCACAUGAGAAGACCAGGUGCUGAGGGCA
Molecule: ribosomal RNA, 119 nt
Filed under: Pteropus alecto (black flying fox)
Lineage: Eukaryota; Metazoa; Chordata; Mammalia; Chiroptera; Pteropodidae
Source: RNAcentral